AUUGAACGCUGGCGGCAUGCCUUACACAUGCAAGUCGAACGGCAGCGGGCCUUCGGGUGCCGGCGAGUGGCGAACGGGUGAGUAAUGCAUCGGAACGUGCCAUUGAGUGGGGGAUAACGUAGCGAAAGUUACGCUAAUACCGCAUAUUCUGUGAGCAGGAAAGCAGGGGACCGCAAGGCCUUGCGCUCUUUGAGCGGCCGAUGUCAGAUUAGCUAGUUGGUGAGGUAAAGGCUUACCAAGGCGACGAUCUGUAGCGGGUCUGAGAGGAUG
RNAcentral lists this ribosomal RNA (270 nucleotides) under uncultured bacterium. RNAcentral describes it as "partial 16S ribosomal RNA". It matches the Rfam family "Bacterial small subunit ribosomal RNA", at positions 30 to 302 of the family's 1533-position model. The record is from RNAcentral.